AUGCAGUCGAGGGGUAUCCUAGCAAUAGGAGAGACCGGCGCACGGGUGCGUCACGUGUAUGCAAUCUACCUUAUACAGGGGGAUAGCCCAGAGAAAUUUGGAUUAAUACCCCAUAGUAUAAUUGAAUGGCAUCAUUUAAUUAUUAAAGUUCCAACGGUAUAAGAUGAGCAUGCGUAUCAUUAGCUAGAUGGUAAGGUAACGGCUUACCAUGGCUACGAUGAUUAGGGGUCCUGAGAGGGAGAUCCCCCACACUGGUACUGAGACACGGACCAGACUCCUACGGGAGGCAGCAGUGAGGAAUAUUGGUCAAUGGGCGCAAGCCUGAACCAGCCAUGCCGCGUGCAGGAAGACGCAUCUAUGGUGUGUAAACUGCUUUUAUACAGGAAGAAACCCUAUCUCGUGAGGUAGAUUGACGGUACCGUAGGAGUAAGGAUCGGCUAACUCCGUGCCAGCAGCCGCGGUAAUACGGAGGAUCCAAGCGUUAUCCGGAAUCAUUGGGUUUAAAGGGUCCGUAGGCGGUUUAAUAAGUCAGUGGUGAAAUCCCAUCGCUCAACGGUGGAACGGCCAUUGAUACUGUUAGACUUGAAUUAUUUGGAAGUAACUAGAAUAUGUAGUGUAGCGGUGAAAUGCUUAGAGAUUACAUGGAAUACCAAUUGCGAAGGCAGGUUACUACAAAUGGAUUGACGCUGAUGGACGAAAGCGUGGGUAGCGAACAGGAUUAGAUACCCUGGUAGUCCACGCCGUAAACGAUGGAUACUAGCUGUUGGGAGCAAUUUCAGUGGUUAAGCGA
This 790-nucleotide ribosomal RNA is filed under the name uncultured bacterium. Its description in RNAcentral is "bacterial SSU rRNA". It matches the Rfam family "Bacterial small subunit ribosomal RNA", at positions 55 to 854 of the family's 1533-position model. The record is from RNAcentral.